GUGAUACUCCCUCCGUCCGAAAAAAUUUGUCCCUCACAUGAAUGUAUCUAGCAUCAAGUUAAUGCUAGAUACGUCUAUUUGAGAGAUAAGCUUAGGACAAGUUUUUUUCGGACGAAGGGAGUAGUAG
This is a non-coding RNA of Triticum aestivum (bread wheat), 127 nucleotides long. The record is from Rfam. Lineage: Eukaryota; Viridiplantae; Streptophyta; Magnoliopsida; Poales; Poaceae.